ACGUGGGGCCCUGCUAAUCCAGCGUGGUCGGAACAAAUCAUUAAGACAUCUCUUCGAAUCGGAAGAUCUAGCGUACAGGCAUUCGGAGGAGGAAAGAAGCAGCUACAAAAGUACCACCUAUCGCGCGUCGAUUGAACCACCAUUUUGCCUAGCACGAGCACAUAAAAUUCCAUAGGAGGAUAUCACCAGAUCAAAGCUGCGCGCGAAGCAUGAUUACCAAAGAAGGCUCUCAAACAGAGAGCCUUUUAUAGCGUGCUUCUCAGCGGCGCACGCGUCCCCGUCGUGCCAUCGCAAUCAGCACAUGCCGGCAUCGCCAUCUCGCCGGACUUCAUAGUG
This 336-nucleotide long non-coding RNA is filed under the name Aedes aegypti (yellow fever mosquito). RNAcentral describes it as "lncRNA AAEL022890". Lineage: Eukaryota; Metazoa; Arthropoda; Insecta; Diptera; Culicidae. The record is from RNAcentral.